RNAcentral lists this ribosomal RNA (253 nucleotides) under uncultured bacterium. RNAcentral describes it as "partial 16S ribosomal RNA". It matches the Rfam family "Bacterial small subunit ribosomal RNA", at positions 524 to 776 of the family's 1533-position model. The record is from RNAcentral.
UACAGAGGGUGCAAGCGUUAAUCGAAAUUACUGGGCGUAAAGCGCACGUAGGCGGUUUUUUAAGUCAGAUGUGAAAGCCCCGGGCUCAACCUGGGAAUUGCAUUUGAAACUGGCCAACUAGAGUACGUGAGAGGGGGGUAGAAUUCCAAGUGUAGCGGUGAAAUGCGUAGAGAUUUGGAGGAAUACCAGUGGCGAAGGCGGCCCCCUGGCACGAUACUGACGCUCAGGUGCGAAAGCGUGGGGAGCAAACAGG